GCCGAACACAGACUGCGAAGCCGGCACCACAGUCUGCUGCCCAGAGGUCCCCACGGCCCUCCACCCUUGCUUCCUGGCACUGCUAGACCAAAAAAUACAAGCAAGGAGGGCUGAUGAAGUAACAAUUACUUUUAUCUGAUAAGCGCAUUUAAAAACUCCUUUGUGAGUAAUGGCGGGAGAACUACCCCCAAAUGUUUAUUCAGAUGUCUCAGGGAGAAACAUUCACGAGAUCAGACCAGGCAACGACGUGGGACAACGGGGCUGGUGCUCAGCUAGCUGCGUGAUGAACAGCACAUUUUUAUUACUGCGAUGACUUCCCCAGCCCUCUCCUAUCUGCUGGGUCACUUCUCCAGCUCGAUGCUCUGGGAAUGCAAAUGAAUUUCAAUGCUCGCUCCAGCCAAGAAUCAUCACUGAAGGCAGAUCUGCUGGAGAAGGAAUUCUGCAGCGCCUUCCGGAGAAUUCCGUCCCUCUGCUGGCCCGUGAUUUGAAUGGCUCUGACUUGGAUCACCUUGGGAA
Molecule: long non-coding RNA, 516 nt
Organism: Felis catus (domestic cat)
Lineage: Eukaryota; Metazoa; Chordata; Mammalia; Carnivora; Felidae
Exons: 2
Source: RefSeq, a predicted model, not a curated record